UUUUCCUUUAUUUCCUCUGAUCCUCGCCGAUUCUCUCUUCCUCGCCGAAAACUCCUCUCUUCUUCUCUCGCGCUCGACGCCGGCCCUAACCGCCGGCCGACGGUUUCUUCUUCCCGAGCGCCGGCAGCCGGUUCAUAGCCGAGCCUUUCCUCCCGACGCCUCCCCAUGCCCUAGCCUUUCUCCCUCUCCGCAGCCGAGUGACGCCGGUCUCUCCGUUGUGCCCUAGCCGAAGUCGACGGCCACGGUUCCAUCUCUCUCCGGCGGCCAUUUUGUUGUUGUCUUUGCUAUGCCCUAGCGCCGGCAGCCGACCACAGUGCCCUAGCCUUCCUUCUACCACAGCCGCCACAGGGAGCAGUGAAGCCGCCUUUCCUCUUCUUCCUGUCCAAGCGCCGGUGACGUGCGAGCACAACCGAGCAGAGCCUUCACAUUUCUCUAGCGCCAUCCUCCUUCCCUCUGUGCUGCCGAGCCGACUCUUCCUCUGUUUCCCUCGCUGUGGAGAUUCCGGUGCCACCGCCGCCGACGGUCGAAUCUCUCUGCCGACGCCACUGCUCUCUCUGGACCGGAGUAGCCUGUGCCCUAGUUAUUUUCCCCUUGCCACGGCUACUGCCGCCGCAGAUCAGCAGGCACACUCCAGCAACGUUGGUGUUCUCUCAUGCCCUAAAUCCUCAGUUCUCUAUUCCAGUGAGUUACUGGAUGAAGGCACCUAGUUGGUUCCGGAUAUCACAGCAUUAAUAGUUGUUGCUGACCCUGCUUAAUUCCGACCAGCAGCACCCCAUUGUUCCAGAAAUCAAUAAGGCUGAGAAAUAAGGACUUUGACGCGAGACGAGUAUCUCGGAGUCAGACUUGGACCUUUUCAAUUUGGAGGCGGG
Long non-coding RNA from Zingiber officinale, 869 nucleotides. RefSeq lists it as uncharacterized. The transcript has 3 exons. The record is from RefSeq and is a predicted model, not a curated record. NCBI's taxonomy places the organism in Eukaryota, Viridiplantae, Streptophyta, Magnoliopsida, Zingiberales, Zingiberaceae.